Molecule: ribosomal RNA, 253 nt
Filed under: uncultured bacterium
Lineage: Bacteria
Description: partial 16S ribosomal RNA
Rfam family: Bacterial small subunit ribosomal RNA
Source: RNAcentral
UACGGGGGUGCAAGCGUUGUUCGGAUUUACUGGGCGUAAAGGGCGCGUAGGCGGCCACCGCAAGUCGACUGUGAAAUCUCCGGGCUUAACCCGGAAAGGUCAGCCGAUACUGCGGGGCUAGAGUGCAGAAGGGGCAACUGGAAUUCUCGGUGUAGCGGUGAAAUGCGUAGAUAUGCGGAGGAACACCAAUGGCGAAGGCAAUCCCCUGGGCCUGUACUGACGCUCAUGCACGAAAGCGUGGGGAGCAAACAGG